UGGCGUAUGCUCGCUGCUGUUUGGAUCUCUUCGUCUCGUGCGUGCAGGUGGCUCUGGUGCCUACCGACUUGCACAGAGAGAGAGAGACAGCGUCGCGCACGUGUGCGCAUGUGCUUCAGCGCCCCUCUUACUGUCGCACACCCACCCUUGUCUGUUUUGCGCUGGGCUUCCCUCGCCUCAACACCCUCCACCGCCCUCCGGUCAGCAGGCCUUGUGGCUCUAGUACCUGCCAGCGCGUUCUCCUCUGAACUACUACGUUAACGUCGCCCAGGCGCGAAGCUGCUGCGUGCGCUGGCAUUUCUUUCGGUUGUUUUCUCUUGUUUUUGCGUUGCUGCCUGACAGCAUCUCCUACCCCCUAGCCUCUCCACUGACUCACGGUCAUGGAGGCCGCCCCCGCUGCCGCUGCGCAGCGACCGCCGCAGACCCAAAAGCGGCCCCGCGAGGAAAGCAACGCCCCGCUACAGGAAGGUAGCAACGGCAGCGUGCCCGCUACCUUCUCCAGCGAGGCCUCCGUCACCACGCCUGUUGCCGACACGGAGCUCGUCGUCGACGUCGAUCAGCCAGAGACCAACCCGCAGGCGCCGGCCGUUGACGCCCCGCGUUCACGAUCGCGUGGACUAGCCGCCGUCGGGCCAGGCUCCAUCUCACCCGUCGCGGCCUCCCGCAGCGGCACUGACGGUGCCAAUAACUGCCAGCCGGCUGCAGCGGUCACAACACUGUCGUCGUCUUCGGCAUCUGCGGACGCGCGCCGCUUCAAGCAGCCCACCCUUGCCGCCUACGGCAUGGUCAGCGACACGAUGGCGCUCAAGAAGGAAAUCAGCGACCGUGACAGUCACAUCGAGGAGCUUAAUCGCGAGGUGGAAGGGCUGCGUGCCGAGGUGGGGCGGCGCAAUGACCAGAUACACUUCAUGGACGGUCAAUGUCGGCAGUACCAGAAGAAACUGGAGCACUUCCAGUCUGUCAUGCGGCAGGAGAUGCUAAGCGCUGCCCAGAAGGACCGCUCGGAGGCACGGCGCGUCCUCUAUCAGAAACAUUUCGAGCUCGGCCAGACCGCGACGUGGCACAGCAACGGCCAGACUGUAUGGAUGGAGGGCGAUCGAGUGCGCACGCUGUUCUUGAAGCUGGCCAACCUCACUCAAAAACGUGAGGAGGUCGAGGCGCUCAAGAAGGCGGCGCAGAGCAACGUGAAGCACCUGGCCCGCCAGGAGCGCGAGCGGGAGGACUCUGGCGCCGGCCCGGACCUGCAGGACGCGCUGAUGGCUGCCCAGAUGGAGUAUCAGCUGCGCGCGUCCGAGCACGCCGCUCUGACCAACACCAUCGCCGACAUCAAGCUGAAGCAGACAGAGAUCGAGCACGAGAAGAAGGCCUUCGUGAAGGAGAUGCGCCGCGUGAAUGACGAGGACACGUCCGAGUUCUUGGCGAUCCCCACCAUCGGCGAGGGAGACCGCUACGUCCUCAUGCAUCUACUAGGCAAGGGUGGCUUCUCGGAAGUGUGGAAGGCGUUCGACCUCGUCGAAGGCCGCUAUGUGGCAUGUAAGAUUCACCACAUUCAGCGCGAGUGGCCUGCCCAGACGCGUACUCACUACCUGCGCCAUGCGCAGCGGGAGCUCGAUAUCAUGCGCGCGCUCGAUCACCCGCAUCUGACGCACCUCUACGACGUCUUCCCUCGCGGUGACAACAUGUUCAUCUCCGUGAUGGAGUACAGCAACGGCAUGGACCUCGACACCUACCUCAAGCGCUACCGCACCUUCAAGGAGGCCGACGCGCGGCUCAUCUUUCUGCAGGUCGUGGACGUGCUGCGCUACCUCGCCUCCCUCGACAGCCCUAUCAUCCACUACGACCUAAAGCCGGCCAACAUCCUGUUGCACCGCGACGACCCAACCAUCCUCGACAUCAAGAUUACCGACUUUGGCCUCUCCAAGAUCAUCGGCGCCACCCGCGAAGGCCCCAGCGACAACCCGUCCAUCGAGCUCACCUCGCAGGGCACCGGCACGUACUGGUACCUGCCGCCCGAGUGCUUCGAAACCUCCUCGACACCGCGCAUCAGCAACAAAGUCGACAUCUGGUCCGCCGGCGUCAUCUUCUACCAGAUGCUCUUUGGCAAGCGGCCAUUCGCCGAGGGCGAGUCGCAGCGCCGCAUAUGGCAGGAAAAGCUCAUCAUUCAAUCCGCGCGCACACUGCACUUCCCAGACACACCCAAGGUAAGCGAGGAGGCCAAGGACAUCAUCCGUGGCUGCCUCGCCUUCAACGAACGCGAGCGAUGCGACGUGUUUCAGCUGAGUCAAGACCCCUACCUGUUUCGCACGAGCCGCCGCUCUGCGCACAAGGCGAAAAGCGCCGCUCCCUCUGGCGUCGGAAGCUCGAACUCACCGCUGAUGCCACCCGUUACCGACGCAACACCGGCAUCAUAGACGCUCGCCGUAUGUGUGUAGCUCCCGCUCUGGUAAGUCUGUCAUUACCUCUUGUGGACAUAUACACGUGUGUCUGUGUGCCGAUGCGCCCAUGCCUUUGUCAUAGAAGAAGACAGCAACAACAUCAUAGAAAGACACACAAGUGGCCUGGAUAUGUCUGUGUUGUCGUCGUUGCGCCUCUUUCACCGUGGACAUACGUACACGCGUCUGCGCCAAUCCAGCCCCCUCGCCCCUCCUGCCCCUCCUGGCCCUCCCCUCUUCACCUCCAUUCAUUUUUUCCUCACGCCAAGCACCAUCAUCUGCCGGGCCAGCGUCGACCGCCUGCAGUCCUUCCCCCUCUUCCCAGCUGACGCCGGUGUGCAUUUUGUCGUGCUGCAUAAUACCG
Molecule: unclassified non-coding RNA, 2796 nt
Filed under: Leishmania donovani
Lineage: Eukaryota; Euglenozoa; Kinetoplastea; Trypanosomatida; Trypanosomatidae
Description: gene:LdHU3.31.5130(CDS-product:tousled-like_kinas e_II_putative)
Source: RNAcentral